UACGUAGGGGGCUAGCGUUGUCCGGAAUCAUUGGGCGUAAAGAGCGCGUAGGCGGCCAGUUAAGUCCGGUGUGAAAGUCAAAGGCUCAACCUUUGAAUGCCGCUGGAAACUGUCUGGCUAGAGUCCGGGAGGGGCGAGUGGAAUUCCUGGUGUAGCGGUGAAAUGCGCAGAUAUCAGGAGGAACACCGGUGGCGAAGGCGGAUCUCUGGACCUUGCCUGACGCUGAGGCGCGAAAGCUAGGGGAGCGAACAGG
RNAcentral lists this ribosomal RNA (253 nucleotides) under uncultured bacterium. Its description in RNAcentral is "partial 16S ribosomal RNA". It matches the Rfam family "Bacterial small subunit ribosomal RNA", at positions 524 to 776 of the family's 1533-position model. The record is from RNAcentral.